CACCGAAAAUGGCCAUCCGCGAGCGAAAGCUGUGGAGCGCAAAGCCGCUCGACCUAAACGCGCGACGCGCGCGCACGGUCCGGAGCGGUUGCCGAA
This 96-nucleotide non-coding RNA is filed under the name Pyrinomonas methylaliphatogenes. RNAcentral describes it as "c-di-GMP sequence". It matches the Rfam family "c-di-GMP-I riboswitch aptamer". From Rfam's summary of the family: GEMM was predicted in a large-scale screen for bacterial structured RNA regulatory elements. Genes associated with GEMM are involved in a diverse array of functions, including chemotaxis regulation, signal transduction, secretion and chitin. Lineage: Bacteria; Pseudomonadati; Acidobacteriota; Blastocatellia; Blastocatellales; Pyrinomonadaceae. The record is from RNAcentral.